UUUGAUGCUGUAUAAAUAAAAUUGAAUUGAAUUGUAGUACUCCAAAGCUUCAGCUAAGGUUUAAACCAGGGGUGUCAAACAUAAAGCCCGGGGGCCAGAAGGGGCCUGGCAGAGACUCCAAUCUGGCCCUUCGGACGGAUUUUGAAAAUGUAAAGGAGGGCGUACAUGUUGGAAUUUCAACUAUGUUACAACUUUUCCUACUGAUGUUUUAGUUUCCUCUUAAAACUAAAAUUGUAAAAAUUACAUUACAAAACGUAAAUAAACUAAAGACAUUCAGGGACAUUGAUGCUAAACCAACGUAAUGAAGUAACAUAAACAGAAAGGAUGUUUUAUGAUCGUGUACCAGACAAACUGCUGUUUUUCACAGUCGGUCACAGUAAAAACAUUAAUGUGGAUUAACAAAAACUUUCUGUGAGUGAACCGUUGGGCUGCUGGUGACGGCUGAAGGUGAUUCUUUGACGUGUUUUGCAGGUGAAGCCUUGGAGUGUCACUGUGGAGGCCAGAAGUUCUGUUCAAGCCCUGUGGAGACGUGCUCCAGCUCUAAAGAUGUCUGCUCUACUCUCGUCAUCACUUCUGGGCCGGUGGUAACGCACACAAAGGGCUGCUUGAAGUCGCUGGCCUGCAGGAUCCUGAAUCGUCCGCCCGUGAUGACUGUCAGCUGUUGCAGUUCUGAUCUGUGCAACAGAUAAACCGCUGCCAUGCGGGACGUCGCCCGAUUGGUCGACGGUCUGCUGCCGUGUGUUGUGUACUGUAGAACAAUAAAGAUCAGCUGACUGCA
Long non-coding RNA from Oreochromis niloticus (Nile tilapia), 778 nucleotides. RefSeq lists it as uncharacterized. The record is from RefSeq and is a predicted model, not a curated record. Lineage: Eukaryota; Metazoa; Chordata; Actinopteri; Cichliformes; Cichlidae. The transcript is spliced from 2 exons.